GAUGAACGCUGGCGGCGUGCCUAAUACAUGCAAGUCGAGCGAACAGACGAGGAGCUUGCUCCUCUGACGUUAGCGGCGGACGGGUGAGUAACACGUGGAUAACCUACCUAUAAGACUGGGAUAACUUCGGGAAACCGGCGCUAAUACCGGAUAAUAUAUUGAACCGCAUGGUUCAAUAGUGAAAGACGGUUUUGCUGUCACUUAUAGAUGGAUCCGCGCCGCAUUAGCUAGUUGGUAAGGUAACGGCUUACCAAGGCGACGAUGCGUAGCCGACCUGAGAGAGUGAUCGGCCACACUGGAACUGAGACACGGUCCAUACUCCUACGGGAGGCAGCAGUAGGGAAUCUUCCGCAAUGGGCGAAAGCCUGACGGAGCAACGCCGCGUGAGUGAUGAAGGUCUUCGGAUCGUAAAACUCUGUUAUUAGGGAAGAACAAAUGUGUAAGUAACUAUGCACGUCUUGACGGUACCUAAUCAGAAAGCCACGGCUAACUACGUG
Molecule: ribosomal RNA, 497 nt
Filed under: uncultured bacterium
Lineage: Bacteria
Description: partial 16S ribosomal RNA
Rfam family: Bacterial small subunit ribosomal RNA
Source: RNAcentral